Non-coding RNA from Cimex lectularius (bed bug), 74 nucleotides. The record is from the annotation of a RefSeq genome assembly. Lineage: Eukaryota; Metazoa; Arthropoda; Insecta; Hemiptera; Cimicidae.
GUCACGAUAGCUCAAGUGGUUAGAGCAGCGGUCUUUUGACCCGAACGUCGUGGGUUCGAAUCCCGCUUGCGACG